This is an RNA transcript of Salvia splendens (bonfire salvia), 2164 nucleotides long. RefSeq lists it as uncharacterized. The transcript has 5 exons. The record is from RefSeq and is a predicted model, not a curated record. NCBI's taxonomy places the organism in Eukaryota, Viridiplantae, Streptophyta, Magnoliopsida, Lamiales, Lamiaceae.
AAUACUACGGUGCGUUCCUCCUUUGAGCCUUUCGUCUCUUUCUGCGGGUGCCCUAACCUCCCUCUCUCUGCGCUCUCACUCUGCGAUUGUGCGCUCUCUCCGCGUGCCCUAGCAGCUCUCUAUCUGCAAUUGCGUUGUGUUCGUCGAUGGAUAAUCAGGUGUCAAUUGCCAAGGAUUUGAAUCUUGUUAAAAAUUUUAAAACCAACCAAAUAAAAGUUUACACAUUUAAGCUCGACACCAUGGCUUCUCUGCUGAGCCCACCUCUGAAUUUACCCAUCAACAAGUAUAUUGCUAUUAUUGGAUCACUCCAGACUCCAGAGGUUUGUUAAUUCUUGGAGUGUGUAUAUGUGAUUCAUCAUAGCAGCAUAUAUGAAUCACAAUUGUAUGUUUUUUCGAGUUUAGCACGAAGAUCAUUCAUCAUAGGAAUAUAGGAUGUAAUAAUCUAGUACACUCUAUCCUUUGCUAUGCUUUUUGGCCAAGAACUAGUCUUUGACCUUCACAUUCUUGCAUAUCAUAAUAGGAAAUUUGUUAUAGAGAUUUAUGUCUAAAAUUGUGACAGAUUCGUGUGUGCAGAGCACGAUGAGAUAAGAUCAGUUGACUCCAUAAAAUGAAUCAUUAUACUCAGAGGCGGACAUACGUUAUAGGAUGGGGGAUCCUUGGGACCCCCAACUAUUUGCAUUUCGAGUGUAUAUUAUAUAUGAGUAUGAUCCAUAUAUAUUCAUUCACUUGCUUAGUUGGUUAUGGAAGUGGACUGGGAACCAUGAGAACAUGGGAUCGAAUCCCUCUUGCCCCAUAUCUAGUGCAUUAUCUACUUAUUUCAUAAGAUGAGAAUAUUUUGGUGGAAUGUAGUUCAUUAUCUAAUACUUACUUCAUAAGAUGAGACUAUUUUGGUGGACGGAUGAAAAUGAAAAGAUGAAACUAUUUUUUAUGGAUGGAAAAGAUAAGACGAAGUAGUAAUUUGGACCCAGAUUAUGGGUUUUUAGUAUAACAGAACUUCAUAUCUAGUUCAUUAUCUAAUAUUUACUUCAUAAGAUGAGACUAUUUUGGUGGAAAGAUGAAAAUGAAAAGAUAAGACUAUUUUUUAUGGAUGAAAAAGAUAAGACGGAGUAGUAGUUUGGACCCCCGAUGUCAAAAUCUUGCGUCCGCCACUGAUUAUACUAGUAAGUUUGCUCAUGUUGAGACAUGAAAGAUCAUUCAUUAGUAAUAGGAUGAGUUGUUCAUUAGACUUAUGCAAUGGUUCUCAUUUUAUUAUUUAUUGAGCUAUGUUUUAGGAAAUCAAGCAAUGGUACUUUGCACAACAACGAGCUUUGGUUACUGCAAUGUACAUGGAAGUGUUGAUGGAUGGAGGCAAGUGUGGAAGAUGGCGAUCUACAAGACGUGCGACGGCAAGAUCAUCGUCUCAUUGGGGAGGCAGGACGCGAAACAGGGAAUAUGCAUAUCCAAGGCCGGUUGCCUUAGCUGUCGCCCAAGUAAUAAUGGCGAUUGGACAAUUCUUCUUUGCCAUGGGAUGGCCCGGAACGAUGUACUUGGGUACUCUUCUCGUGGGGCUUGGUUACGGAUCACACUGGGCGAUUGUGCCUGCUGGCUGCUGCUGCCUCAGAGUUAUUUGGGUUGAAAAAGUUUGGGGCUUUAUACAAUUUCCUUACUCUAGCAAACCCUGCAGGCUCUUUGGUAUUCUCCGGUCUGAUUGCCAGCACUAUAUAUGACAUGGAAGCUGAGAAACAGGCUUGUGCACACCAUCAUGGCCAACAAAUAGUAUCAUCUCUUUCAAGAUUUGUCUAUCUUGACGACCCUUUGAAGUGUGAAGGUGCCAUUUGCUUCUUCGUUACUUCCUGAUCAUGUCCGGACUUUGCAUUAUUGCAGUCGUCUUAAGCUUGAUUCUUGCGCAUCGGACAAAGCCAGUGUGCGCUCUCCUUUAUGGAGGGUCUCAAAGUUCCUAAGUCAAGAGGGAGAAAGCAAAGAAGAACAUGUCAUUAAAGCACAAACAAGAUGAAUGCCCUACCACAAAACAAUUAAGCACAUUUGAUGAACGCCCCGUUAAAAUCACCAGGGUUUUGGGCGAAUUCCACGACAGUCUGCUGUGAAGCUGGAUCAGUAAACAGCACCUGAUCAGACGUAAACAACCCUCUCUUUCCCACCAGAUUCUGGUAGUAGACGUUGUCAA